This 765-nucleotide ribosomal RNA is filed under the name uncultured Streptococcus sp. Its description in RNAcentral is "bacterial SSU rRNA". It matches the Rfam family "Bacterial small subunit ribosomal RNA", at positions 28 to 776 of the family's 1533-position model. The record is from RNAcentral. Lineage: Bacteria; Bacillati; Bacillota; Bacilli; Lactobacillales; Streptococcaceae.
GACGAACGCUGGCGGCGUGCCUAAUACAUGCAAGUAGAACGCUGAAGAGAGGAGCUUGCUCUUCUUGGAAGAGUUGCGAACGGGUGAGUAACGCGUAGGUAACCUGCCUUGUAGCGGGGGAUAACUAUUGGAAACGAUAGCUAAUACCGCAUAACAAUGGGUGACCCAUGUCAUUCAUUUGAAAGGGGCAACUGCUCCACUACAAGAUGGACCUGCGUUGUAUUAGCUAGUAGGUGAGGUAACGGCUCACCUAGGCGACGAUACAUAGCCGACCUGAGAGGGUGAUCGGCCACACUGGGACUGAGACACGGCCCAGACUCCUACGGGAGGCAGCAGUAGGGAAUCUUCGGCAAUGGGGGCAACCCUGACCGAGCAACGCCGCGUGAGUGAAGAAGGUUUUCGGAUCGUAAAGCUCUGUUGUAAGUCAAGAACGAGUGUGAGAGUGGAAAGUUCACACUGUGACGGUAGCUUACCAGAAAGGGACGGCUAACUACGUGCCAGCAGCCGCGGUAAUACGUAGGUCCCGAGCGUUGUCCGGAUUUAUUGGGCGUAAAGCGAGCGCAGGCGGUUUGAUAAGUCUGAAGUUAAGGGCUGUGGCUCAACCAUAGUUCGCUUUGGAAACUGUCAAACUUGAGUGCAGAAGGGGAGAGUGGAAUUCCAUGUGUAGCGGUGAAAUGCGUAGAUAUAUGGAGGAACACCGGUGGCGAAAGCGGCUCUCUGGUCUGUAACUGACGCUGAGGCUCGAAAGCGUGGGGAGCGAACAGG